AAGUUUGAAGUGAUUAAAUCACAAUUAGUUUCGACCUAAUCUUAGGUAAAUAUACCCUAACUUA
Molecule: transfer RNA, 64 nt
Filed under: Climacia areolaris
Lineage: Eukaryota; Metazoa; Arthropoda; Insecta; Neuroptera; Sisyridae
Description: tRNA-Arg
Source: RNAcentral